Molecule: ribosomal RNA, 252 nt
Filed under: uncultured bacterium
Lineage: Bacteria
Description: partial 16S ribosomal RNA
Rfam family: Bacterial small subunit ribosomal RNA
Source: RNAcentral
UACAGAGGGUGCAAGCGUUGUUCGGAAUUAUUGGGCGUAAAGGGUGCGUAGGCGGUGCGGUAAGUCACCUGUGAAAUCUCCAAGCUUAACUUGGAGCCUGCAGGCGAAACUGCCGUACUGGAGUAUGGGAGAGGUGCGUGGAAUUGCAGGUGUAGCGGUGAAAUGCGUAGAUAUCUGCAGGAACACCCGUGGCGAAAGCGGCGCGCUGGACCACUACUGACGCUGAGGAACGAAAGCUAGGGGAGCAAACAG